CGUGGGCCCGCAGUCGAGAUUCUACGGGAGGCAGCAGUGGGGAAUCUUGCGCAAUGGGCGAAAGCCUGACGCAGCAACGCCGCGUGCGGGAAGAAGGCUUUCGGGCUGUAAACCGCUUUCAGCAGGAACGAAAAUGACGGUACCUGCAGAAGAAGGAGCGGCCAACUAUGUGCCAGCAGCCGCGGUGAUACAUAGGCUUCAAGCGUUGUCCGGAUUUAUUGGGCGUAAAGAGUUCGUAGGCGGUCGAGUAAGUCGGGUGUGAAAAUUCUGGGCUCAACCCAGAGACGCCACCCGAUACUGCUUAACUUGAGUUCGAUAGGGGAGUGGGGAAUUCCUAGUGUAGCGGUGAAAUGCGCAGAUAUUAGGAGGAACACCGGUGGCGAAGGCGCCACUCUGGAUCGACACUGACGCUGAGGAACGAAAGCAUGGGUAGCAAACAGGAUUAGAUACCCUGGUAGUCCAUGCGGUAAACGGUGGGCACUAGGUGUGGGUUUCUAUUAACGAAAUCCGCGCCGUCGCUAACGCAUUAAGUGCCCCGCCUGGGGAGUACGGUCGCAAGACUAAAACUCAAAGGAAUUGACGG
This 583-nucleotide ribosomal RNA is filed under the name uncultured Actinomycetes bacterium. RNAcentral's name for it is "bacterial SSU rRNA". It matches the Rfam family "Bacterial small subunit ribosomal RNA", at positions 318 to 916 of the family's 1533-position model. The record is from RNAcentral. Lineage: Bacteria; Bacillati; Actinomycetota; Actinomycetes.